GCCUGGGUGGCUCAGUCGGUUAAGCGUCUGGCUUCAGCUCAGGUCAUGAUCUCACAGUUUGUGGGUUCAAGCCCCAUGUCGGGCU
RNAcentral lists this transfer RNA (85 nucleotides) under Felis catus (domestic cat). It matches the Rfam family "tRNA". From Rfam's summary of the family: Transfer RNA (tRNA) molecules are approximately 80 nucleotides in length. Their secondary structure includes four short double-helical elements and three loops (D, anti-codon, and T loops). Lineage: Eukaryota; Metazoa; Chordata; Mammalia; Carnivora; Felidae. The record is from Rfam by way of RNAcentral. RNAcentral also lists the same sequence under 2 other names.